RNAcentral lists this transfer RNA (87 nucleotides) under bacterium. RNAcentral's name for it is "tRNA-Leu". It matches the Rfam family "tRNA". Rfam says of the family: Transfer RNA (tRNA) molecules are approximately 80 nucleotides in length. Their secondary structure includes four short double-helical elements and three loops (D, anti-codon, and T loops). The record is from RNAcentral.
GCCGAGGUGGUGGAAAUGGUAGACGCGCUGCGUUCAGGGCGCAGUGGGCGAAAGCCCGUGGGGGUUCGAAUCCCCCCCUCGGCACCG